This is a long non-coding RNA of Talpa occidentalis (Iberian mole), 426 nucleotides long. RefSeq lists it as uncharacterized. The record is from RefSeq and is a predicted model, not a curated record. Lineage: Eukaryota; Metazoa; Chordata; Mammalia; Eulipotyphla; Talpidae. The transcript is spliced from 3 exons.
AACGGAAUUUGGGGAACACUGGUUUUUUUGUCUGGCCUCUCUCGCUGGCCACAGUGUCGUCAAGCAUCCUCUGACUGUAACAAGCCAACCUCUGUUUUUGCAGCUAGUCUGCCACUGAUAAGGCCUGCUGACAUGGCUUCCAUUUUUCUGAGAUCCUGGCCUCCUAGCUGCUGCUAAAAGUGGUUCAAACAAGAUUUGGUAUGAAACUUAAUAUGGUUUGCAGGCUGCAAUUUCCACAUCCAGGGAUGGAGUUAGAGAAAUCCACAGGAAACAGAAGGAAACUUGCUGCAGUACGGACUCUGUGUCAGCCUAUACUUAUUACAUCAUCGGAUACAUGUUUUUUGGAAGUGGUGCUAUUAAUUAUUUCCACAACUGAGAAACAAUAAAUGUCUUUUGAGUAGAAAACAGUGUAAAAGUACAUGCAGG